GACGAACGCUGGCGGCGUGCUUAACACAUGCAAGUCGAACGGAAAGGCCCUGCUUUUGUGGGGUGCUCGAGUGGCGAACGGGUGAGUAACACGUGAGUAACCUGCCCUUGACUUUGGGAUAACUUCAGGAAACUGGGGCUAAUACCGGAUAGGAGCUCCUGCUGCAUGGUGGGGGUUGGAAAGUUUCGGCGGUUGGGGAUGGACUCGCGGCUUAUCAGCUUGUUGGUGGGGUAGUGGCUUACCAAGGCUUUGACGGGUAGCCGGCCUGGGAGGGUGACCGGCCACAUUGGGACUGAGAUACGGCCCAGACUCCUACGGGAGGCAGCAGUGGGGAAUAUUGCACAAUGGGCGGAAGCCUGAUGCAGCAACGCCGCGUGCGGGAUGACGGCCUUCGGGUUGUAAACCGCUUUCGCCUGUGACGAAGCGUGAGUGACGGUAAUGGGUAAAGAAGCACCGGCUAACUACGU
This 467-nucleotide ribosomal RNA is filed under the name uncultured bacterium. RNAcentral's name for it is "partial 16S ribosomal RNA". It matches the Rfam family "Bacterial small subunit ribosomal RNA", at positions 28 to 506 of the family's 1533-position model. The record is from RNAcentral.